Molecule: non-coding RNA, 208 nt
Organism: Oryza glumipatula
Lineage: Eukaryota; Viridiplantae; Streptophyta; Magnoliopsida; Poales; Poaceae
Source: Rfam
AAAAAGGCAAACUCUACGUUUCCGUGUCCAACUUUGAUUGUCCGUCUUAUAUGAAAUUUUUUUAUAAUUUGUAUUUUCAUUGUUGUUAGAUGAUAAAACAUGAUUAAUAUUUUAUGCCUGACUUGUCUUUUUAUUUUUUUUUUUCAUAAUUUUUUUAAAUAAGACGGACGGUCAAACGUUGGACACGGAAACUAGGGUUUGUCUUUUU